This 433-nucleotide ribosomal RNA is filed under the name uncultured bacterium. RNAcentral's name for it is "partial 16S ribosomal RNA". It matches the Rfam family "Bacterial small subunit ribosomal RNA", at positions 29 to 507 of the family's 1533-position model. The record is from RNAcentral.
AACGAACGCUGGCGGCAUGCCUAACACAUGCAAGUCGAACGAGACCUUCGGGUCUAGUGGCGCACGGGUGCGUAACGCGUGGGAACCUGCCCUUAGGUUCGGAAUAACUCCCCGAAAGGGGUGCUAAUACCGGAUAAUGUCUUCGGACCAAAGAUUUAUCGCCUUUGGAUGGGCCCGCGUUGGAUUAGCUAGUUGGUAGGGUAAAAGCCUACCAAGGCGAGGAUCCAUAGCUGGUCUGAGAGGAUGAUCAGCCACACUGGGACUGAGACACGGCCCAGACUCGUACGGGAGGGAGCAGUGGGGAAUAUUGGACAAUGGGCGAAAGGCUGAUACAGCAAUGCCGGGUGAGUGAUGAAGGGGUUAGGGUUGUAAAGCUGUUUUAGCCGGGAUGAUAAUGACAGUACCGGGAGAAUAAGCUCCGGCUAACUACGUG